Molecule: ribosomal RNA, 300 nt
Filed under: uncultured Colwelliaceae bacterium
Lineage: Bacteria; Pseudomonadati; Pseudomonadota; Gammaproteobacteria; Alteromonadales; Colwelliaceae
Description: bacterial SSU rRNA
Rfam family: Bacterial small subunit ribosomal RNA
Source: RNAcentral
UGCUUGGGAAUAUGCCUUUAGGUGGGGGACAACAGUUGGAAACGACUGCUAAUACCGCAUAAUGUCUACGGACCAAAGGAGGGGAUCUUCGGACCUUUCGCCUUUAGAUUAGCCCAAGUGAGAUUAGCUAGAUGGUGAGGUAAUGGCUCACCAUGGCGACGAUCUCUAGCUGGUUUGAGAGGAUGAUCAGCCACACUGGGACUGAGACACGGCCCAGACUCCUACGGGAGGCAGCAGUGGGGAAUAUUGCACAAUGGGGGAAACCCUGAUGCAGCCAUGCCGCGUGAAGGAUGACUGCCC